CUCCCGUUCUCCUCAGUCCGAGAAAACACUGAGAGAAAGGUAUGUGUCGCAGAUGUCUCCUGUGAAGAAGUCCAUAACGUCAAAUAAUUAAAGCCUCCCAGGGUUAUUGCUCUAGGUAUUGUUAUAAGUGAGUGUGAGACUAUUGAAACAUGUAACAUUCAGAGUUGUAUCGUUGUUAUUGAUGUAGUUUUACAGAGUGCUAGUUAGCAUGUCUUUCUGAAUGCAGCUGGUCAGCUGAGCUGCCUACAUAUGCUAGCGUUGCAUUAUGGAAGAUGUAGUUUUAGCCCUCUUAAGGUGUGAAUGGGAUAAAUGCGAUUUCACAUUGUGGCUUGUUUGUAUUACACUGUUUUUGUACGUGAGUUGUUGUAUUUUAAUACUGUCACCACUGAAAGCACCUAGCAAUGUAUUGGAGAUGUGAGACAGGAUAUGUGUUUUUCCUUCUUUACCUUUACAUGCUCCUCUAUAGAACAACUUGUCAGAGUGCAUUGGAGAGUAUUCCUGUCCUGUCUCUUCAUAAUAGUAUUGCAGGUCUACAUAAAAGCCCCAAAAGACAGCCGUGGUGUCGCUCUUCAUUUCUUGGUUCUUCUGUGGUACACAUAAAGACCGCUAGAGACGUACAGUUGCUCUCAGAGGGAUGGUGGUUUAUGAAGACACAAUCCUGGAGCUCCAUUAGAGUCCCCUCCACUGAGACAUCAAAACGUCCCCACAAUUCACAAGGUAUGUCAGUUCUGCUCAACGUGUUCUCGUAAUGCAUGAAAGUACUGACAAUGUCAGCUCCACCAACAGCAUCCUCAAAAUGCAUCUCAGGUCACUGUCAGUAAUUUCCGGUCACAACUUGUAGACUUGUUCACGUGCUGCUGUGCGUUUUGUUUGCGAACCUUACUUUGCUACCUGCCAACUUAACGUUUUUUACAUUUUAAUUACCGGUUUAUAUUUUUGCGGUUUUCCCUCGCUCAACUUUUAUUCAUUCAACUUUUUCACUCCGGACGCUUUCUCUGGACGUGGUUCGUCAGGACCUCCACCAGCCGAAGCUAAGUAGUAACAUUAACCACCUAACUGAGGAACUCAAUUUAACCUUGCGCAAUACCCUAGAUGCAGUUGCACCCCUAAACACAAAAAAACAUUUGUCAUAAGGAACUAGCUCCCUGGUAUACAGAAAAUACCCGAGCUCUGAAGCAAGCUUCCAGAAAAUUGGAAGUCUUCCAACUAGCUUGGAAAGACAGUACCGUGCAGUAUCGAAGAGCCCUCACUGCUGCUCGGUCAUCCUCUUUUUCCAACUUAAUUGAGGAAAAUAAGAUCAAUCCAAAAUGGAUUUUUGAUACUGUCGCAAAGCUAACUAAAAAGCAGCAUUCCCAAAGAGAGGAUAGCUUUUACUUCAGCAGUGAUAAAUUCAUGAACUUCUUUGGCACAACUCUGCCAGGACCUAGGAUCAAGGGAGACACUCAAUUUGUUUUUGUACUAUAUCUCUUGACACAUUGAUGAAAAUAAUCAUGGCCUCUAAACCUUCAAGCUGCAUACUGGACCUUAUUCCAACUAAACUACUGAAAGAGCUGCUUCCUGUGCUUGGCCCUCCUAUGUUGAACAUAAUAAACAGCUCUCUAUCCACCGGAUAUGUACCAAACUCACUAAAAGUGGCAUUAAUAAAGCCUCUCUUGGAAAAGCCAAACCUUGACCCAGAAAAUAUAAAAAACUAUCGGCCUAUAUCGAAUCUCCCAUUCCUCUAAAAAAUGUUAUAAAAAGCUGUUGCGCAGAAACUCACUGCCUUCCUGAAGACGAACAUUGUAAACAAAACGCAUCAGUCUGGUUUUAGACCCCAUCAUAGCACUGAGACUGCACUUGUGAAGGUGUUAAAUUACCUUUUAAUGGCGUCAGACCGAGGCUUUGCAUCUGUCCUCGUUCUCCUAGACCUUAGUGCUGCUUUUGAAACCAUCGAUCACCACAUUCUUUCGGAGAGAUUGGAAACCCAAAUUGGUCUACACGGACAAGUUCUGGCCUGGUUUAGAUCUUAUCUGUCGGAAAGAUAUCAGGUUUUUCUCUGGAUGGUUUGUCCUCUGACAAAUCAACUGUACAUUUCGGUGUUCCUCAAGGCUCUGUUUUAGGACCACUAUUGUUUUCACUAUAUAUUUUACCUCUUGGUGAUGUCAUUCGGAAACAUAAUGUUAACUUUCACUGCAUUGCGGAUGACACACAGCUGUACAGUUCGAUGAAACAUGGUGAAGCCCCACAAUUUCCCUCCCUGGAAGCCUGUGUAUCAGACAUAAGGAAGUGGAUGGCUGCAAAUGUUCUACUUUUAAACUCGGACAAAACAUAGAUGCUUAUUCUAGGUCCCAAGAAACAAAGAGAUCUUCUGUUGAAUCUGACAAUUAAUAUUGAUGGUUGUACAGUCGUCUCAAAUAAAACUGUGAAGAACCUCGGCGUUACUCUGGACCCUGAUCUCUCUUUUGACGAACAUAUCAAGACUGUUUCAAUUAACUUCAGUUAGUGCUAAACACGGCUGCUAGAAUAUUGACUAGAACCCAAACAUUUUAUCAUAUUACUCCAGUGCUAGCCUCUCUACACUGGCUUCCUGUUAAGGCAAGGGCUGAUUAAGGUUUUACUGCUAACAUACAAAGCAUUACAUGGGCUUGCUCCUACCUAUAUUUCCGAUUUGGUCCUGCCGUACAUACCUACACGUACGCUACGGUCACAAGACGCAGGCCUCCUAAUUGUCCCUAGAAUUUCUAAGCAAAAAGCUGGAGGCAGGGCUUUCUCCUAUAGAGUUCAAUUUUUAUGAAAUGGUCUGCCUACCCAUGCGAAAGACGCAGACUCGGUCUCAACCUUUAAGUCUUUAUUGAAGACGUAUCUCUUCAGUAGGUCCUAUGAUUGAGUGUAGUCUGGCCCAGGAAUGUGAAGGUAAACGGAAAGGCACUGGAGCAACGAACCGCCCUUGCUGUCUCUGCUUGGCCAGUUCCCCUCUCUCCACUGGGAUGCUCUGCCUUUAACCCUAUUACAGGGGCUGAGUCACUGGCUUACUGGUGCUCUUCCAUGCCUUUCCCUACGAGGGGUGUGUCACUUGAGUGGGUUGAGUCACAGACGUGAUCUUCCUGUCCGGGGUGCCCCCCCCCCCACCCCCCCCUUGUCUCAGGAUGGUAAGUUGGUGGUUGAAGAUAUCCCUCUAGUGGUGUGGGAGCUGUGCUUUGGCAAAGUGGGUGGGGUUAUAUCCUUCCUGUUUGGCCCUGUCCGGGGGUUUCGUCAGAUGGGGCCACAGUGUCUCCCGACCCCUCCUGUCUCAGCCUCCAGUAUUUAUGCUGCAGUAGUUUAUGUGUCGGGGGGCUAGGGUCAGUCUGUCAUAUCUGGACUAUUUCUCCUGUCUUAUCCGGUGUCCUGUGUGAAUUUAAGUAUGCUCUCUCUAAUUCUCUUUCUCUCUCUUUCUUUCUUUCUCUCUCUCGGAGGACCUGAGCCCUAGGACCUUGCCUGAGGACUACCUGGCCUGAUGACUCCUUGCUGUCCCCAGUCCACCUGGCCGUGCUGCUGCUCUAGUUUCAACUGUUCUGCCUGCGGCUAUGGAACCCUGACCUGUUCACCGGAUGUGCUACCUGUCCCAGACCUGCUGUUUUCAACUCUCUAGAGACAGCAGGAGCGGUAGAGAUACUCUGAAUGAUCGGCUAUGAAAAGCCAACUGACAUUUACUCCUGAGGUGCUGACCUGUUGCACCCUUGAAAACCACUGUGAUUAUUAUUAUUUGACCCUGCUGGUCAUCUAUGAACAUUUGAACAUCUUGGCCAUGUUCUAUUAUAAUCUCCACCCAGCACAGCCAGAAGAGGACUGGCCACCCCUCGUAGCCUGGUUCCUCUCUAGGUUUCUUCCUAGGUUCUGGCCUUUCUAGGGAGUUUUUCCUAGCCACCGUGCUUCUACACCUGCAUUGCUUGGGGUUUUAGGCUGGGUUUCUGUACAGCGCUUUGUGACAUCAGCUGAUGUAAGAAGGGCUUUAUAAAUACAUGUGAUUGAUAGUACCCACAAUGUUUUUUGAACUGCCUGGAAAAUACCACUGACCAUGAACUCCCAGAUCCCUACAUUUUUUUUGGGUUUUUCAAAGCGACUUUGAGAUUCUUGUUUGUAAUGAAAAGCGCUAUAUACAAAUGCUACACUAUGAAAACGCUACACAGCGUCCUGAUAAUACACAUAAGUCAGGACGACACACAACAUCCUCAUAACGACUGUCUCUUCGAUGACCUAGCCUCCGCAUUACACCCACACUUUGGAUUUUCAUAAACUUAUCAUGGUUGCUUUCUCUCAACCCGAUGCCAGGCUUUCUUAUGCUUUUGUUGUCGUGGAGAAGGAGACUGAGGAGAAGAGAAGCCGGUGGGGCAGAACUGAUGCAAAUAAAUGUGCCGUCUGCUACUAGCAGCUGCUGAUAAAAGUGGGAGCGGAGAGAGAGUGGGGGAAAUGCAGGGGCCCGGCAAGGCAAAACAAAUGGAGUGAUUAGGGCACCGGUUGGAAACGGCGUGCAGGCAGGACACAGAUAGCACCGUCUGCCAUUACCCAAACACUACAGGGGGGAGCGCAGUGUCUUACAAACACACGGGCACAAACGUACGUUGGCAAAAAGCAGUCACGCACACGUGCGCGCAUACACUCACACACACUCUCACACAUUGCAGGCUGCACUACUGCAUCCCAAGUGACAUCACUGUACCUUCCCCAAUCAGGCCAGCUUCUACUGUAUCUAUGGAAGAGGGAUAUGGAUGACAGCUCACAAUAAGGUGUCCCAUAAUGAGAUGGGUAGCCAGUGGCCAGUGAGACAUGUUGUCUGAAGGUUAAAUGCAGCCCAACAUCGGGUUAGUAGAUACAUUUUUAUCAUAAUCUAUACCCCUUUUGAAUGCUCCCUUUUCGGUCCUGGUUACAUUACUAAUAGCACACACUUACAGCACACACACACAAAUGCACGCACGCACGCACCCACAUGCACACACACGCAGGCAUGCACACACGUACACACACACAACAUUCACCACCUAACCCGAUAUUAGGCCGUAUUUAACCUUUAUUUAACACGCCAAGGAGAGUGAUGGAGUGCUGCAUCAGAUGACCUGGCCUCCACAAUCACCCAAUCUCAACCCAAUUGAGAUGGUUUGGGAUGAGUUGGACCACAGAGUGAAGGAAAAACAGGAAAAAGUGCUCAGCAUAUGUGGGAACUCCUUCAAGACUGUUUGAAAAGCAUUCCUCAUGAAGCUGGUUGAGAGAAUGCCAAGAGUAAUCCCAGAAAUGUACCAUACACACAACAAGCUUAUUUCUCUCAUGGGUGGCUACUUUGAAUCAUCAAAAAUAUAUUUUGAUUUGUUUUUACACUUUUUGGGUUACUACAUGAUUCCAUAUGUGUUAUUUCAUAGUUUUGAUGUAUUCACGAUAAUUCUACAAUGUAGAAAAUUGUAAAAAAUUAAGAAAAACCCUUGAAUGAGUAGGUGUGUCCAAGCUUUUGACUGGUACUGUAGAUGCAGGCACACAUGUAAGCAGAAAAGCCCACUGACACAAGGUAAUGUCUGUCAUGAUGUCCGGUAUUGAUGAGAAAUUACACUCUAUUUAUUCAGUCCAAGAAUAAAGGCCCUAAUCUUAAUUAAACCAAAAACACCACUCUUCUACCAGUGGAAAUGUGGACUCACACAGUCAACAAAGCUACCUAGUGUGAAGAGUAUUGAUUCUUAACAUGGCCUUGCUAUGAGAAUGCUGUUGUCACAAAAUUACUAUCACUACUAUUACUCAGCCAUUAAUACAACGGUCAGAAACAGACUCCAUGAGGGUGGUAUGAGGGCCCGACGUCCACAGGUGGGGGUUGUGCUUACAGCCCAACACCGUGCAGGACGUUUGGCAUUUGCCAGAGAACACCAAGAUUGGCAAAUUCGCCACUGGCGCCCUGUGCUCUUCACAGAUGAAAGCAGGUUCACACUGAGCACAUGUGACAGACGUGACAGAGUCUGGAGACGCAGUGGAGAACGUUCUGCUGCCUGCAACAUCCUCCAGCAUGACCGGUUUGGCGGUGGGUCAGUCAUGGUGUGGGGUGGCAUUUCUUUGUGGGGCCGCACAGCCCUCCAUGUGCUUGCCAGAGGGAGCCUGACUGCCAUUAGGUACCGAGAUGAGAUCCUCAGACCCCUUGUGAGGCCAUAUGCUGAUACAUGCACAUUUGUGGCCUGCUGGAGGUCAUUUUGCAGGGCUCUGGCAGUGCUCCUCCUUGCACAAAGCCGGAGGUAGCGGUCCUGCUGCUAGGUUGUUGCCCUCCUACGGCCUCCUCCACGUCUCCUGAUGUACUGGCCUGUCUCCUGGUAGCGCCUCCAUGCUCUGGACACUACGCUGACAGACACAGCAAACCUUCUUGCCACAGCUCGCAUUGAUGUGCCAUCCUGGAUGAGCUGCACUACCUGAGCAACUUGUGUGGGUUGUAGACUCCGUCUCAUGCUACCACUAGAGUGAAAGCACCGCCAGCAUUCAAAAGUGACCAAAACAUCAGCCAGGAAGCAUAGGAACUGAGAAGUGGUCUGUGGUCACCACCUGCAGAACCACUCCUUUAUUGGGGGUGUCUUGCUAAUUACCUAUAAUUUCCACCUUUUGUCUAUUCCAUUUGCACAACAGCAUGUGAAAUUUAUUGUCAAUCAGUGUUGCUUCCUAAGUGGACAGUUUGAUUUCACAGAAGUGUGAUUGACUUGGAGUUACAUUGUGUUGUUUAAGUGUUCCCUUUAUUUUUUGGAGCAGUGUAUAUAUCCGGGUAUUCAAGGUUGACUCCGCAAUCAAUAUUCUACCUUGUACUUCUGCACGUAACACAACUCAUCUAACUGCAAACAGAAUAGACGACUUAACUCACAUUCUUUCAGAGAUGACUAUGUGCAGUAGCUGGUAUUUAGCUACUAUAAAAGGCUUCAUGAAGACUGUGUGAAUGCCUACAUAAUGGGGGCUACAGUAAAGUGUUACCUGUGACGGCAAAAUAUUGGCAGGAGCAGUUUAGCCACAAAACAGGUUUGUGGCUAAUUGGCUGCGAACAACUAUGUGGAUGGAUGAGUUUAGGAUUCCUUUCCAUGGUAACACAGUUCUUUCUAUAUCUUCCCUCCUGCUCACCAGAUACACAACUUUAUUCGACAGUGCAGGUCUUUAUCACCAGAGAAGACACCGAGGCUGACAGACAAAUGAGGAGGGUGUAUGUACGUGUGUGAAUGUGUAUAUGCGCAUACGUGUGAGUGUGCAUGCAUUUGUGUGUGCCAUUGUGCAUAUCUGUGUGUGUGUGUGUGUGUGUGUGAUGGCAUACACAAUUCGGAAUUGGGAUAUGUGUGGGGGCGGUUCCCUUUCCCAAACUGCCAAAUCAUCUUCGGUGGAGGGCUGAGUCACAACCCUUCCACUCCUCCCCCACCUCCUGCCCCUCACCCCUCCUAAGAGAGAGAGUGAGCGGAAGAAACAAUGGGAAGAUUAAAUUCCAAUGGUGUCCAUGGAGACCGCAGGACAUUCCACAUGUCGCAGUGAUAAGGGGGAGAUUAAUUGUAUAUAAAAGUGUGUCAAAACGGAGUUAACCCUAAAACCAUUGAGCUGAGGUACCGCAAAUCCCCCUCUGAAUCCUUAUCUGCCGAAUGUCAAGCAAAAGAAGAGCGUGAGAGAGAGGGUUACGACUACAUCUAUGCCAGUCGAAGCAUAAUCGAACUGUUCGAAACAAGAGCUUGGAUAUAAAAAGCCACAGGCUUUCAGAUAUGUACCAAGUCUCAAGGGGUGUUAGAAGAGCGAAAGAGAGAGAGAGAGCGAGAGACCUUGACAAAGUACAGACACAGUGAACACAGCCUUGCCAUUGAGAAGGGUAGACACAGGAAAACAUGGCUCCCGGUAGAGGAAAGGCUGUGCAUCACAGCAGUGAUGUACACAAAAUGUAAAGAAUAUAAAACAUUUAGAGUGUAAUUUCCCCAAAUUUGAAACCCUUAUUCAAGGUGAUCUGAAACGUUAACUCCACCGCCUGUGCCCUCAAGACCGCCACUUGCGAAAUGAGGAAAAGCGCCAACAUCACGGUUGUUUGUCUCUCUUGAGCCACCGCAGCAACAACAUAGCAAGAAACACUUCCUCAAAAUAGUCCAAAUUAAAUCAAGAAAUGUGUUACUAAUUUUGACGUUUUCGCCAAGGAAGUCUUAAUAGCGCAAUUUUACAUCCAGCUAAGAUAUUUGGUGCAGUAAGUCUCAAGUGAACAUUUUUGCAUGGAAACGAGUCAUCUCUCGUUGAACGACGAAGGGGCGUAGACUUCGGCUACCGAAAUUUGAAUUGCCCAAGCGAAAAACGUGUGCACGAACAGCAAAAAAAGAAUGUACUGCCGAAGAUCAAAACGAACAAAAACGUCACUAAAUUUCCCCAUAAUAUAUGGCGAACUGUUUCAACUGGGAAGCAGGCGGUAAGCCUAAAGGAUCGCUUGAAGCAGGGUUGUCGUUCGCUCUCUCCCUAUCCCCUCCCUCUCUCUCUCUCUCUGUAAAACCAAUCAAUCAAUCAAGUUUAUUUUAUAUAGCCCUUCGUACAUCAGCUAAUAUCUCGAAGUGCUGUACAGAGACCCAGCCUAAAACCCCAAACAGCUAGAAUGUAGGUGAAGAAGCACGGUGGCUGGUAAAAACUCCCUAGAAAGGCCAAAACCUAGGAAGAAACCUAGAGAGGAAGCAAGCUAUGAGGGGUGGCCAGUCCUCUUCUGGCUGUGCCGGGUGGAGAUUAUAACAGAACUAUGCCAAGAUGUUCAAAAAUGUUCAUAAGUGACAAGCAUGGUCAAAUAAUAAUCAUGGAUAAUUUUCAGUUGGCUUUUCAUAGCCGAUCAUUAAGAGUUGAAAAACAACAGGUUGAAAAACCUGUGAUUAGAGGAAACGUAUGCCCUGUCUCUCCCUCAUCCUCGACUCUCUAUGUUUCCAAUGAUCAGAGACCAAGCAGACUUUUAUUCUGAAGAAUAUGCUACCUUGUGUGCUGUGUGUGCGAGCCUACCUACAUGUGUGUGCGUGUGUGUCUCCAUAUGUGUGUGUGUGUGAUUGCGUGCAUACCUACAUGUGUGUGUAUCUGUGUAUCAGCAUAUGUGGGUCUUUCUACAAAUAAAGGGGCCAACGCGUGACAUCACGGUCAACAUUUCUAAAUGGUUUGAUAUGCAUUCAAAUAUGAUUUUCUUUCAGCUUCACGUGUGUAGUUCAAGGAUUAAAAGUCUAGAUAGCCACAAUGAGAGUAUGACUCCACCUGGAAACUGCAAAACAUCUACACGUCAUUCAAAACCUUCACAUGAAACAUGGACACUGCAUGUUUCUUUGUCAUGCUUAGUAGCCAGGUCUGGUUGUGAUUUAGUCAACUUCUCUAUCAUUCACAGCCAUGCUAAACCGUCCUGCAGAAUGGAAAAUAUAAAAUAGAUAUGUUCUGCAUGUUUUAUAGUUGAUGUGAUCAUAUAAUACAAUGGGUUCUGUCAAGAAAAUCAUUGACAACAAUAAUGAUCAAUAAUGAAAUACACUCUCCAAGCUGUGUGUGUGUGUGUCUGUCUGUCUAUGUUUGUUUGUGUGUGUGUGUGUCUGUCUGUCUGUCUGUCUGUCUGUCUAUGUUUGUGUGUGUGUGUGUCUGUCUGUCUAUGUGUGUGUGUGUGUGUGUGUGUGUGUGUGUGUGUGUGUGUGUGUGUGUGUGUGUGUGAGAGAGAGUCUGUGUCUGAAAACUAGCCGUCAAAUGCUUGCUUCGUCUUUCCUUUUUUCCUUCACUCCUUGCCGCUCUUUGAAAGUGCAUUGGAGCCCGAGGGGAAGAGCCAUCUCACCUCUCCCCCAACGUGCUUUUAAAGGGAGGUGAGGAAUGGAGGAAACAAGGGGAGAAUCUCAAUUGCAUUUCCGUUAUUCCUCACAUCCUCUCUCCUCACCUCCUUCUGAAAACCCAAUACAUUUGAAAGUGAGAGGGGUGGGACCCCUCCUGGGGCGGGACCUCUCCCCUCGUGAUAGUUUUUCAUGGUUGAGGGUUGAGGAGAGUUUGACUACUUCUCUGCUAGUCUUUGGGAGAAAAAACAUUUGUGGAUUGAAGUAUUUCACAGCUAUUAACAUUUUUAGACAGCACCAGAUUCAGUGACUGAAUGAGUGAGUGAGUGAGUGACUGAGUGAGUGACUGAGUGAGUGACUGAGUGAGAGAGAGAGAGAGAGAGAGAGAGUGACUGACUGACAAACCAUCAGUGGUGUAAAGUACUUAAGUAAAAAUACUUUAAAGUAGUACUUUAAAGUAGUUUUGGGGGGGUAUCUGUACUUUACUUUACUAUUUAUAAUUUUGACAACUUUCCUAAAGAAAAUGAUGUACUUUUUACUUCACACAUUUUCCCUGAAACCCAAAAGUACUUUACAUUUUGAAUGGACAGGAGAAUGGUCCAAUUCACGCUUAUCAAGAGAAUGUCCCUGGUCAACCAUAUUGCCUCUGAUCUGGCAGACUUAUAGCACACAUGAUUGUUUGUAAAUGAUGUCUGCACAAUUGAGAGCAUCCUGUCAGGCUGUAUCACCGCCUGGUAUGGCAACUGCAACGCCCACAACCGCAGGGCUCUCCAGAGGGUAGUGAGGUCUGCACAACGCAUCACCGGGGGCAAACUACCUUCCCUCCAGGACACCUACACCACCCGAUGUCACAGGAAGGCCAAAAAGAUCAUCAAGGACAUCAGCCACCCGAGCCACGACCUGUUCACCCCGCUAUCAUCCAGAAGGCGAGGUCAGUACAGGUGCAUCAAAGCUGGGACUGAGAGACUGAAAAACAGCUUCUAUCUCAAGACCAUCGGACUGUUAAAUAGCCAUCACUAGCCGGCUACCACCCGGUUACUCAACCCUGCACCUUAGAGGCUGCUGCCCUAUAUACAUAGACAUGGAACCACUGGUCACUGGUCAUUUUAAUAAUGGAACACUAGUCACUUUAAUAAUGUUUACAUACUGUACUGCUUUACUCAUUUCAUAUGUAUAUACUGUAUUCUAUUCUACCGUAUUUUAGUCAAUGCCACCCCGACAUUGCGGUCCUAAUAUUUAUAUAUUUCUUAAUUCCAUUAUUUUACUUUAGAUUUGUGUGUAUUGUUGUGAAUUGUUAGACACUACUGCACUGUUGGAGCUAGGAACACAAGCGUUUCGCUACACCCGCAAUAAGAUCUGCUAAAUAUAUGUAUGUGACCAUUAUCAUUUGUUUUGAUUUGAGUGUUGUAGUGUGCCCUUGGCUAUCUGUAAAUAAAUAAAAAAGAAAAUGGUGCUGUCA
Long non-coding RNA from Salvelinus fontinalis (brook trout), 11205 nucleotides. RefSeq lists it as uncharacterized. The transcript has 3 exons. The record is from RefSeq and is a predicted model, not a curated record. NCBI's taxonomy places the organism in Eukaryota, Metazoa, Chordata, Actinopteri, Salmoniformes, Salmonidae.